UUGGAGGGCAAGUCUGGUGCCAGCAGCCGCGGUAAUUCCAGCUCCAAUAGCGUAUAUUAAAGUUGUUGCAGUUAAAAAGCUCGUAGUUGAACCUUGGGUCUGGCUGGCCGGUCCGCCUCACCGCGAGUACUGGUCCGGCUGGACCUUUCCUUCUGGGGAACCUCAUGGCCUUCACUGGCUGUGGGGGGAACCAGGACUUUACUGUGAAAAACUUAGAGUGUUCAAAGCAGGCCUUUGCUCGAAUACAUUAGCAUGGAAUAAUAGAAUAGGA
This 271-nucleotide ribosomal RNA is filed under the name uncultured Ascomycota. Its description in RNAcentral is "partial 18S ribosomal RNA". It matches the Rfam family "Eukaryotic small subunit ribosomal RNA", at positions 548 to 827 of the family's 1831-position model. The record is from RNAcentral. Lineage: Eukaryota; Fungi; Ascomycota.